This 2901-nucleotide ribosomal RNA is filed under the name Escherichia coli. Its description in RNAcentral is "bacterial LSU rRNA". It matches the Rfam family "Bacterial large subunit ribosomal RNA". The record is from RNAcentral. Lineage: Bacteria; Pseudomonadati; Pseudomonadota; Gammaproteobacteria; Enterobacterales; Enterobacteriaceae.
UUAAGCGACUAAGCGUACACGGUGGAUGCCCUGGCAGUCAGAGGCGAUGAAGGACGUGCUAAUCUGCGAUAAGCGUCGGUAAGGUGAUAUGAACCGUUAUAACCGGCGAUUUCCGAAUGGGGAAACCCAGUGUGAUUCGUCACACUAUCAUUAACUGAAUCCAUAGGUUAAUGAGGCGAACCGGGGGAACUGAAACAUCUAAGUACCCCGAGGAAAAGAAAUCAACCGAGAUUCCCCAGUAGCGGCGAGCGAACGGGGAGCAGCCCAGAGCCUGAAUCAGUGUGUGUGUUAGUGGAAGCGUCUGGAAAGGCGCGCGAUACAGGGUGACAGCCCCGUACACAAAAAUGCACAUGCUGUGAGCUCGAUGAGUAGGGCGGGACACGUGGUAUCCUGUCUGAAUAUGGGGGGACCAUCCUCCAAGGCUAAAUACUCCUGACUGACCGAUAGUGAACCAGUACCGUGAGGGAAAGGCGAAAAGAACCCCGGCGAGGGGAGUGAAAAAGAACCUGAAACCGUGUACGUACAAGCAGUGGGAGCACGCUUAGGCGUGUGACUGCGUACCUUUUGUAUAAUGGGUCAGCGACUUAUAUUCUGUAGCAAGGUUAACCGAAUAGGGGAGCCGAAGGGAAACCGAGUCUUAACUGGGCGUUAAGUUGCAGGGUAUAGACCCGAAACCCGGUGAUCUAGCCAUGGGCAGGUUGAAGGUUGGGUAACACUAACUGGAGGACCGAACCGACUAAUGUUGAAAAAUUAGCGGAUGACUUGUGGCUGGGGGUGAAAGGCCAAUCAAACCGGGAGAUAGCUGGUUCUCCCCGAAAGCUAUUUAGGUAGCGCCUCGUGAAUUCAUCUCCGGGGGUAGAGCACUGUUUCGGCAAGGGGGUCAUCCCGACUUACCAACCCGAUGCAAACUGCGAAUACCGGAGAAUGUUAUCACGGGAGACACACGGCGGGUGCUAACGUCCGUCGUGAAGAGGGAAACAACCCAGACCGCCAGCUAAGGUCCCAAAGUCAUGGUUAAGUGGGAAACGAUGUGGGAAGGCCCAGACAGCCAGGAUGUUGGCUUAGAAGCAGCCAUCAUUUAAAGAAAGCGUAAUAGCUCACUGGUCGAGUCGGCCUGCGCGGAAGAUGUAACGGGGCUAAACCAUGCACCGAAGCUGCGGCAGCGACGCUGAUGCGUUGUUGGGUAGGGGAGCGUUCUGUAAGCCUGUGAAGGUGUGCUGUGAGGCAUGCUGGAGGUAUCAGAAGUGCGAAUGCUGACAUAAGUAACGAUAAAGCGGGUGAAAAGCCCGCUCGCCGGAAGACCAAGGGUUCCUGUCCAACGUUAAUCGGGGCAGGGUGAGUCGACCCCUAAGGCGAGGCCGAAAGGCGUAGUCGAUGGGAAACAGGUUAAUAUUCCUGUACUUGGUGUUACUGCGAAGGGGGGACGGAGAAGGCUAUGUUGGCCGGGCGACGGUUGUCCCGGUUUAAGCGUGUAGGCUGGUUUUCCAGGCAAAUCCGGAAAAUCAAGGCUGAGGCGUGAUGACGAGGCACUACGGUGCUGAAGCAACAAAUGCCCUGCUUCCAGGAAAAGCCUCUAAGCAUCAGGUAACAUCAAAUCGUACCCCAAACCGACACAGGUGGUCAGGUAGAGAAUACCAAGGCGCUUGAGAGAACUCGGGUGAAGGAACUAGGCAAAAUGGUGCCGUAACUUCGGGAGAAGGCACGCUGAUAUGUAGGUGAAGUCCCUCGCGGAUGGAGCUGAAAUCAGUCGAAGAUACCAGCUGGCUGCAACUGUUUAUUAAAAACACAGCACUGUGCAAACACGAAAGUGGACGUAUACGGUGUGACGCCUGCCCGGUGCCGGAAGGUUAAUUGAUGGGGUCAGCGCAAGCGAAGCUCUUGAUCGAAGCCCCGGUAAACGGCGGCCGUAACUAUAACGGUCCUAAGGUAGCGAAAUUCCUUGUCGGGUAAGUUCCGACCUGCACGAAUGGCGUAAUGAUGGCCAGGCUGUCUCCACCCGAGACUCAGUGAAAUUGAACUCGCUGUGAAGAUGCAGUGUACCCGCGGCAAGACGGAAAGACCCCGUGAACCUUUACUAUAGCUUGACACUGAACAUUGAGCCUUGAUGUGUAGGAUAGGUGGGAGGCUUUGAAGUGUGGACGCCAGUCUGCAUGGAGCCGGCCUUGAAAUACCACCCUUUAAUGUUUGAUGUUCUAACGUUGACCCGUGAUCCGGGUUGCGGACAGUGUCUGGUGGGUAGUUUGACUGGGGCGGUCUCCUCCUAAAGAGUAACGGAGGAGCACGAAGGUUGGCUAAUCCUGGUCGGACAUCAGGAGGUUAGUGCAAUGGCAUAAGCCAGCUUGACUGCGAGCGUGACGGCGCGAGCAGGUGCGAAAGCAGGUCAUAGUGAUCCGGUGGUUCUGAAUGGAAGGGCCAUCGCUCAACGGAUAAAAGGUACUCCGGGGAUAACAGGCUGAUACCGCCCAAGAGUUCAUAUCGACGGCGGUGUUUGGCACCUCGAUGUCGGCUCAUCACAUCCUGGGGCUGAAGUAGGUCCCAAGGGUAUGGCUGUUCGCCAUUUAAAGUGGUACGCGAGCUGGGUUUAGAACGUCGUGAGACAGUUCGGUCCCUAUCUGCCGUGGGCGCUGGAGAACUGAGGGGGGCUGCUCCUAGUACGAGAGGACCGGAGUGGACGCAUCACUGGUGUUCGGGUUGUCAUGCCAAUGGCACUGCCCGGUAGCUAAAUGCGGAAGAGAUAAGUGCUGAAAGCAUCUAAGCACGAAACUUGCCCCGAGAUGAGUUCUCCCUGACUCCUUGAGAGUCCUGAAGGAACGUUGAAGACGACGACGUUGAUAGGCCGGGUGUGUAAGCGCAGCGAUGCGUUGAGCUAACCGGUACUAAUGAACCGUGAGGCUUAACCUU